CUCACGAUUUCCGAAGAAAUUCUCCUAGAACUCUUGAAUGAAUCCUCAAAGGAUACCAGAAGGAUUCGUCCCAGUUAUCACAAAGAUAUCCUUCCAGAAAUUUUGAAAGAAUUUAUUAAUUAAUCUAAAAAAACAAUAACUAGUUUCCACUUUGAAUUAUUUAUUAUCAGAAAUCGUUACUGAAUUUAAAAAAAAAACCUUCAUGGAAUUCAGAAGGAAAUCCCUUAUGAAAAAAAAGGAUUCUCUCUCGAAUUUAGUAUGGAUCCCAAAAGGAUUCUAGAAACAAAACCGGAAGGACUAGCCUUAUUUGAUAGAGUUUUUCAGUGGCCGUGAAUUCUAUUAGUGACCGUAGAUAUUUAGUUUUAAUUUUCAUAACGAAUUGAAUCAAUAUAUACACCUAGGAUUAUUUUUAUUUAGGUUUUGCCAGUCUUGUCAAUCUCAUCGUCUCAAAUCAUCAUCGGAGAACUAGGCAUUCCGAAAAGAUGGAUCUUAUGAACCAAAUGGAUCAGGGCUGGAUUACGGUUCUGCUAUCACCUUCUACUACGCUGUAAGCCGAUCCCCAAGCCCAAGCACACGAGGUUACCAUGGAGCAUAUCACGGCGGAUUAUGUGAUCAAUUAUGACCUACCCUAUCUUAAGUUAUUGCUAGAGGAAUUCGAAGACGCCAAACAAAUUUCAUAUUAAUCUUAGUAUCAAGGGCAUUAGAUUUCGACCCGAGGUUAUAGAGCUUAAUGAGAAAUUUAACCUCCGGGACACAAUUGACGGAGGUGAUCGAGGUUCGUCUAGAGGAGCAAGUUGCCUAACUUUGAUAAUAAAAUGAC
Molecule: long non-coding RNA, 820 nt
Organism: Armigeres subalbatus
Lineage: Eukaryota; Metazoa; Arthropoda; Insecta; Diptera; Culicidae
Exons: 3
Source: RefSeq, a predicted model, not a curated record